Molecule: ribosomal RNA, 507 nt
Filed under: Pseudomonas sp.
Lineage: Bacteria; Pseudomonadati; Pseudomonadota; Gammaproteobacteria; Pseudomonadales; Pseudomonadaceae
Description: bacterial SSU rRNA
Rfam family: Bacterial small subunit ribosomal RNA
Source: RNAcentral
CUUGCUCUUUGAUUCAGCGGCGGACGGGUGAGUAAUGCCUAGGAAUCUGCCUGGUAGUGGGGGACAACGUUUCGAAAGGAACGCUAAUACCGCAUACGUCCUACGGGAGAAAGUGGGGGAUCUUCGGACCUCACGCUAUCAGAUGAGCCUAGGUCGGAUUAGCUAGUUGGUGGGGUAAUGGCCUACCAAGGCGACGAUCCGUAACUGGUCUGAGAGGAUGAUCAGUCACACUGGAACUGAGACACGGUCCAGACUCCUACGGGAGGCAGCAGUGGGGAAUAUUGGACAAUGGGCGCAAGCCUGAUCCAGCCAUGCCGCGUGUGUGAAGAAGGUCUUCGGAUUGUAAAGCACUUUAAGUUGGGAGGAAGGGCAGUACGUUAAUACCGUGUUGUCUUGACGUUACCAACAGAAUAAGCACCGGUUAACUUCGUGCCAGCAGCCGCGGUAAUACGAAGGGUGCAAGCGUUAAUCGGAAUUACUGGGCGUAAAGCGCGCGUAGGUGGUUUG